UUAGAAGCAAAACAAAACAAGCAAACAAACAAAAAAACCACACACACAAAUCAAAACAAUAAAAACUUUGCUACACAAAGCGUGCUUCCAAAAGAGGCAUAUGAUAUCACUGGGGACCUUGUUAGAAACUUGGAAUCUCAGAUCCCACCCCCGACAUACUGAACCAUAAUCUGCAUUUUAACAAGAUCCCCAGGUGACUGUUAGUGCAUUAAAAUUUGAGGAGAACUGACCUAAUAAUACACAAAGUUAUGAAGAAAAAUUUGAGUGCAACUAUAACUUAAAAACAAAACUCUAACAAAGAAACCAUAAACAAAGCUAAAAGACAAGAAAUAGACCCAGAGGCUGGUCUGAUGGUAAUGGGUUAUUCAGAACUUAUUAAUAUUACUGUUACUCAAGUUGGUAUGCAACUCUCCCACUGCUAAAUUUGGCUUAAAAAAAAAAGAAAAGAAAGAAACCCAAAGAAAGUAUCCACAAUACGGUAAACUGACAAAUUACUUAAAUCCAGAAUAUACAAAGAGUUCCUACACAUCAUAAGGAAAAGAACCACAAAUGUAAC
This 556-nucleotide antisense RNA is filed under the name Pan troglodytes (chimpanzee). The stretch from base 341 to 434 matches the Rfam family "Y RNA". Lineage: Eukaryota; Metazoa; Chordata; Mammalia; Primates; Hominidae. The record is from RNAcentral.